RNAcentral lists this ribosomal RNA (463 nucleotides) under rape rhizosphere bacterium tsb026. RNAcentral's name for it is "bacterial SSU rRNA". It matches the Rfam family "Bacterial small subunit ribosomal RNA", at positions 27 to 476 of the family's 1533-position model. The record is from RNAcentral.
GAGUGAACGCUGGCGGUAGGCCUAACACAUGCAAGUCGAACGGCAGCACAGUAAGAGCUUGCUCUUAUGGGUGGCGAUUGGCGGACGGGUGAGGAAUACAUCGGAAUCUACUUUUUCGUGGGGGAUAACGUAGGGAAACUUACGCUAAUACCGCAUACGACCUACGGGUGAAAGCAGGGGAUCUUCGGACCUUGCGCGAUUGAAUGAGCCGAUGUCGGAUUAGCUAGUUGGCGGGGUAAAGGCCCACCAAGGCGACGAUCCGUAGCUGGUCUGAGAGGAUGAUCAGCCACACUGGAACUGAGACACGGUCCAGACUCCUACGGGAGGCAGCAGUGGGGAAUAUUGGACAAUGGGCGCAAGCCUGAUCCAGCCAUAUCCGCGUGGGUGAAGAAGGCCUUCGGGUUGUAAAGCCCUUUUGUUGGGAAAGAAAUCCAGCCGGCUAAUACCUGGUUGGGAUGACGGU